RNAcentral lists this ribosomal RNA (644 nucleotides) under Peribacillus simplex. Its description in RNAcentral is "partial 23S ribosomal RNA". It matches the Rfam family "Bacterial large subunit ribosomal RNA", at positions 1 to 641 of the family's 2925-position model. The record is from RNAcentral. Lineage: Bacteria; Bacillati; Bacillota; Bacilli; Caryophanales; Bacillaceae.
GGUUAAGUUAGAAAGGGCGCACGGUGGAUGCCUUGGCACUAGGAGCCGAUGAAGGACGGGACUAACACCGAUAUGCUUCGGGGAGCUGUAAGUAAGCUUUGAUCCGGAGAUUUCCGAAUGGGGAAACCCACUGUUCGUAAUGGAACAGUAUCUUUACCUGAAUACAUAGGGUACUGAAGGCAGACCCGGGGAACUGAAACAUCUAAGUACCCGGAGGAAGAGAAAGCAAAUGCGAUUUCCUGAGUAGCGGCGAGCGAAACGGAAUUAGCCCAAACCAAGAGGCUUGCCUCUUGGGGUUGUAGGACACUCAACAUGGAGUUACAAAGGAACGGGGUAAAUGAAGUGAUCUGGAAAGAUCCGUCGAAGAAGGUAAAAACCCUGUAGUUGAAACUUCGUUCCCUCCUGAGUGGAUCCUGAGUACGGCGGGACACGAGAAAUCCCGUCGGAAGCAGGGAGGACCAUCUCCCAAGGCUAAAUACUCCCUAGUGACCGAUAGUGAACCAGUACCGUGAGGGAAAGGUGAAAAGCACCCCGGAAGGGGAGUGAAAUAGAUCCUGAAACCGUGUGCCUACAAGUAGUCAAAGCCCGUUAAUGGGUAAUGGCGUGCCUUUUGUAGAAUGAACCGGCGAGUUACGAUUUCAUGC